Molecule: ribosomal RNA, 367 nt
Filed under: Simulium parahiyangum
Lineage: Eukaryota; Metazoa; Arthropoda; Insecta; Diptera; Simuliidae
Also listed under: 3 other names
Description: eukaryotic LSU rRNA
Rfam family: Eukaryotic large subunit ribosomal RNA
Source: RNAcentral
GCCUGAUCAGGUUGAAGUCAGGGGAAACCCUGAUGGAAGACCGAAGCAGUUCUGACGUGCAAAUCGAUUGUCAGAAUUGGGCAUAGGGGCGAAAGACCAAUCGAACCAUCUAGUAGCUGGUUCCCUCCGAAGUUUCCCUCAGGAUAGCUGGUGCAUAUACCGUUUCAAUAAACUUAAUAAAUCUUAUCUGGUAAAGCGAAUGAUUAGAGGCAUUAGGUUCGAAACGUUCUUAACCUAUUCUCAAACUAUAAAUGGGUACGAUAUAAGAGUUUCUUGAUUGAACUCUUAUUUCACGCUUUUGGCGUACCAUAUCAAACAUUUUGGUGUUUGUAAUUUGGUUUAGAUUUAUUGUGCCCAGUGGGCCAAG